AGCAGUGUUUGAGCUGUAGUUAUCGGGUUUUCCUGGCUCUUUCUCAGAAGACUGGAACAAGGACUUCAUUCCCUGUUCCUGAAAUGGGCCUUUCCUGUGCUGAUCCUCUCCUGGUUCAUACAGCCCAUGUACAAACAGUCUGCUUCUCAGGAUGAAAACAACUCAGUCAACCAGGAGUGCUACAAAGGAUGCUCAUUGGAGCCCUGUGAGGAAGAGGCCCACAUUCUUCUUUAAGACAUACACAGGAACUUUGUCUUCUGGGGUGCUUAUGCCCAUAGUAUCAAUUGAGAGGGGCAGCAGAGCUUCUGAGAUAUGAAGAAGGUGCUUCCAUAUGAUGAUCAAGAGGUCUAUACGGACAUCGGAAGGGCAUCGGAAGGGCAUCGGAAGGUGUCCAGCCGAGAGGUAUGUGCGGGAAUGGCUCUGCCAGAUGUAUUAGCAGGGAACUGUCCCCCUUGCUGGGCCGAGUGGAAAUGAAGAGAAACAUCUCCAUUCCACCUUGAUUGCAUCCCCACUGGAUGGAAAUAUUGAAUGCCCUUUGGUCCUGGCUGUAGCCAUAUCCUCUCCCUUCCUGUGUUUCUGACUGCCUCUUCUUUCACCCUUAGGAGUCUCAGAGCUGGUACUCCCUCAGCAGGCACCGUUGGAUGGGCAUCGGCUUCCCACUCGGUUCCAGGCUCACUUAUAGCCAUCAGCACCUGAUAGAUAUCCUAAAGUAGAAUGUGCCUCCAUACCCUGACCUUGGUGCUUGGCUGUUUG
This is a long non-coding RNA of Lynx canadensis (Canada lynx), 753 nucleotides long. RefSeq lists it as uncharacterized. Lineage: Eukaryota; Metazoa; Chordata; Mammalia; Carnivora; Felidae. The transcript has 3 exons. The record is from RefSeq and is a predicted model, not a curated record.